GUGCUCACUUCGGCAGCACAUAUCCUAAAAUUGGACCGACACAGAGAAGAUUAGCGUGGCCCCUGCACAAGAUGACACACAAGUUUGUGAAGGCUUUCAUAUUUUU
Panthera leo (lion) is the source of this 106-nucleotide small nuclear RNA. The record is from Ensembl. Lineage: Eukaryota; Metazoa; Chordata; Mammalia; Carnivora; Felidae.